RNAcentral lists this ribosomal RNA (253 nucleotides) under uncultured bacterium. Its description in RNAcentral is "partial 16S ribosomal RNA". It matches the Rfam family "Bacterial small subunit ribosomal RNA", at positions 524 to 776 of the family's 1533-position model. The record is from RNAcentral.
UACGAAGGGGACUAGCGUUGUUCGGAAUUACUGGGCGUAAAGCGCACGUAGGCGGACGUAUCAGUCAGAGGUGAAAUCCCGGGGCUCAACCUCGGAACUGCCUUUGAUACAGUACGUCUUGAAUCCGGUAGAGGUGAGUGGAAUUCCUAGUGUAGAGGUGAAAUUCGUAGAUAUUAGGAAGAACACCAGUGGCGAAGGCGGCUCACUGGACCGGUAUUGACGCUGAGGUGCGAAAGCGUGGGGAGCAAACAGG